Molecule: microRNA precursor, 145 nt
Filed under: Gossypium barbadense (sea-island cotton)
Lineage: Eukaryota; Viridiplantae; Streptophyta; Magnoliopsida; Malvales; Malvaceae
Also listed under: 1 other name
Description: MIR7502 microRNA precursor family
Rfam family: MIR7502 microRNA precursor family
Source: Rfam by way of RNAcentral
UAUUAAAAUUUUUAUUUAUUUAUACUGUUAAAGAUGGACGUGGCUGGCAAAAUAAUCAAACUGUUACAAAUAACGUGUUAUGUGUAUCUCAUACUAACGUAUAAUGACCAAUUUUUAAUUGUCAAAAUCAAUGAAAUUUUAAACA